RNAcentral lists this ribosomal RNA (507 nucleotides) under uncultured Glomus. RNAcentral's name for it is "SSU rRNA". It matches the Rfam family "Eukaryotic small subunit ribosomal RNA", at positions 569 to 1078 of the family's 1831-position model. Lineage: Eukaryota; Fungi; Glomeromycota; Glomeromycetes; Glomerales; Glomeraceae. The record is from RNAcentral.
AGCAGCCGCGGUAAUUCCAGCUCCAAUAGCGUAUAUUAAAGUUGUUGCAGUUAAAAAGCUCGUAGUUGAAUUUCGGGGUCAGCAAGUUGGUCGUGCCACUGGUAUGUACUGGCUUUGCUGAUUCCUCCUUCUUGUAGAACCGUAAUGCCAUUAAGUUGGUGUUGCGGGAAAACAGGACUGUUACUUUGAAAAAAUUAGGGUGUUUAAAGCAGGCUAACGCUUGAAUACAUUAGCAUGGAAUAAUGAAAUAGGACGACGAUCCUAUUUUGUUGGUUUCUAGGAUUGACGUAAUGAUUAAUAGGGAUAGUUGGGGGCAUUAGUAUUCAAUUGUCAGAGGUGAAAUUCUUGGAUUUAUUGAAGACUAACUACUGCGAAAGCAUUUGCCAAGGAUGUUUUCAUUAAUCAAGAACGAAAGUUAGGGGAUCGAAGACGAUCAGAUACCGUCGUAGUCUUAACCAUAAACUAUGCCGACUAGGGAUCGGAUGAUGUUAAUUUUUUAAUGACUCA